AUUGAACGCUGGCGGCAGGCCUAACACAUGCAAGUCGAGCGAGCGGCGGACGGGUGAGUAAUGUCUGGGAAACUGCCUGAUGGAGGGGGAUAACUACUGGAAACGGUAGCUAAUACCGCAUACCAUCAGAUGUGCCCAGAUGGGAUUAGCUAGUAGGUGGGGUAACUGCUCACCUAGGCGACGAUCCCUAGCUGGUCUGAGAGGAUGACCAGCCACACUGGAACUGAGACACGGUCCAGACUCCUACGGGAGGAAGCAGUGGGGAAUAUUGGACAAUGGGCGCAAGCCGGAUGAAGCAAUGCCGCGUGUGUGAGGAAGGCCUUCGGGUUGUAAAGCACUUUCAGCGGGGAGGCGUUACCCGCAGAGGAAGCAACGGCUAACUCCGUGCCAGCAGCCGCGGUAAUUC
This 406-nucleotide ribosomal RNA is filed under the name uncultured bacterium. RNAcentral's name for it is "partial 16S ribosomal RNA". It matches the Rfam family "Bacterial small subunit ribosomal RNA", at positions 30 to 526 of the family's 1533-position model. The record is from RNAcentral.